Molecule: non-coding RNA, 177 nt
Filed under: human gut metagenome
Source: RNAcentral
GUUCUCCAUCCCAUGAUGGAGCUAAGAUGGAAGCAGGUGUAAAUCCUGCACGGUCCCGCCACUGUAAUGGAGGAGCGCUUUUCAGAACGUCACUGAAGCCUAUAGACAUGCCGCAGAUUGCAUGCCGCUUUGGGAAGGCGAAAAGCGCGAAGAUACCUGAGUCAGGAGACAUGCAUA